Molecule: ribosomal RNA, 253 nt
Filed under: uncultured bacterium
Lineage: Bacteria
Description: partial 16S ribosomal RNA
Rfam family: Bacterial small subunit ribosomal RNA
Source: RNAcentral
UACAGAGGUCUCAAGCGUUGUUCGGAUUCAUUGGGCGUAAAGGGUGCGUAGGCGGCGGGGCAAGUCGGAUGUGAAAUCUCAGGGCUCAACCCUGAAACUGCAUUCGAUACUGCUGUGCUUGAGGACUGGAGAGGAGACUGGAAUUUACGGUGUAGCAGUGAAAUGCGUAGAGAUCGUAAGGAAGACCAGUGGCGAAGGCGGGUCUCUGGACAGUUCCUGACACUGAGGAGCGAAAGCGUGGGGAGCGAACAGG